Molecule: ribosomal RNA, 110 nt
Filed under: Bacteroidales bacterium
Lineage: Bacteria; Pseudomonadati; Bacteroidota; Bacteroidia; Bacteroidales
Source: RNAcentral
UUAAGUGACUAUUGCGGUGGGAAUUCCACCUCUUCCCAUUCCGAACAGAGAAGUUAAGCCCACCAGCGCCAAUGGUACUGCAAUUGCGGGAGAGUAGGUCGUCGCCACUU